This 420-nucleotide ribosomal RNA is filed under the name uncultured Bacteroidota bacterium. RNAcentral's name for it is "bacterial SSU rRNA". It matches the Rfam family "Bacterial small subunit ribosomal RNA", at positions 608 to 1032 of the family's 1533-position model. The record is from RNAcentral. Lineage: Bacteria; Pseudomonadati; Bacteroidota.
CUUAACGGUAAAAGGGCCUUCGAUACUGGAUUUCUUGAGUUCGGAAGAGGUCGGUGGAAUUCGUGGUGUAGCGGUGAAAUGCAUAGAUAUCACGAAGAACACCAGUGGCGAAGGCGGCCGACUGGUCCGAUACUGACGCUGAGACACGAGAGCGUGGGGAGCGAACAGGAUUAGAUACCCUGGUAGUCCACGCUGUAAACGAUGCAUGCUAGUUGAUGUCCCUUCGGGGGCAGUGACGCAGUUAACGCAGUAAGCAUGCCACCUGGGGAGUACGUUCGCAAGAAUGAAACUCAAAGGAAUUGACGGGGGCCCGCACAAGCGGUGGAGCAUGUGGCUUAAUUCGAUGCAACGCGAAGAACCUUACCUAGGCUAAAUCACCGGUGACCGGUCCUGAAAGGGACCUUCCCUUCGGGGCAGCGG